Molecule: non-coding RNA, 29 nt
Filed under: Rattus norvegicus (Norway rat)
Lineage: Eukaryota; Metazoa; Chordata; Mammalia; Rodentia; Muridae
Source: RNAcentral
AGUGUCAACUUGAUAUUUAAGAUGGAUCU